CAUCCAUUCAAUCUGUUUGUCAACGUGUAUCAGAAGUCGCUGCAUAUCGUUUGAUCUUCCUGGACUCUAAUUCAGUAUUCUAUGAAACUCUCUAUGUGGGCGAUGUAGCAAAUGCCCGGAUUAGGCCUGCUUUGAGAACCCUGAAGCAGAAUCUUACUCUUCUGACAGCUAUUCUUACAGACAGAGCUCAGGCUUUGGCAAUGAGAG
This 207-nucleotide unclassified non-coding RNA is filed under the name Hevea brasiliensis (rubber tree). Lineage: Eukaryota; Viridiplantae; Streptophyta; Magnoliopsida; Malpighiales; Euphorbiaceae. The record is from RNAcentral.